Molecule: small nucleolar RNA, 146 nt
Organism: Macadamia integrifolia
Lineage: Eukaryota; Viridiplantae; Streptophyta; Magnoliopsida; Proteales; Proteaceae
Product: small nucleolar RNA F1/F2/snoR5a
Exons: 1
Source: RefSeq, a predicted model, not a curated record
UAAUGCCUGAGGUAUCUGAUACCUUGACUGAUAACCUGUGUCUGGGCAUCUCGUUUAGAAGGCAUAAACUAAAAUAUAAACAGGUCUUGCGACACAGGUUGCCUCAUUUUCAUGAGCUUCCUGUUACUUUAACCCUGUUUACAUUG